This 414-nucleotide non-coding RNA is filed under the name Nomascus leucogenys (northern white-cheeked gibbon). RNAcentral describes it as "Eukaryotic large subunit ribosomal RNA". It matches the Rfam family "Eukaryotic large subunit ribosomal RNA", at positions 2591 to 2988 of the family's 3401-position model. Lineage: Eukaryota; Metazoa; Chordata; Mammalia; Primates; Hylobatidae. The record is from Rfam by way of RNAcentral.
CCGGAUUAGUCACCUCAGCCUAGGAAACUGGGAUGGUAUCUUCCAAAUGGUAAUGCAGGAAUUUUAAGGUAAGCACAGGGAGACAGAAACAUCUCAUGAGCAGAAAGGCAGAACUUUUGAUGGAUUUUGACUUUUCUUUAUGGAUACGGACAGUGAAAGUGAGGCUCAAUGAUCUUCAUAAUCCUUCUGACCACCGGGAUCUUAAGCAGGAGGUGUCAGAAAAUUUAUCACAGAGAUCAUUGCAAUGUGGUGGCUAAGUAUUCAUGGCAAUGCCACUGUUUGUCUGGUCCUUCGAUAUUAGCACUUCGUUGUAAAAUGUUGGUUCUUCAUUGUGAAGCAGACUUCACUGAGAGUGGGAUUGUUCACCCGUUAAUAACGUGAGCUGUGAUUAGGCAACGGUGAUACAGGACAGUU